Molecule: ribosomal RNA, 231 nt
Filed under: uncultured bacterium
Lineage: Bacteria
Description: partial 16S ribosomal RNA
Rfam family: Bacterial small subunit ribosomal RNA
Source: RNAcentral
UACGGAGGGUGCGAGCGUUGUCCGGAAUCACUGGGCGUAAAGGGCGCGUAGGUGGCCUGUGGAAGUCUGCGGUGAAAGCCCGGCGCUCAACGCCGGGUCGGCCGUGGAUACUCUCGGGCUUGAGCUUACUAGAGGCAGAUGGAAUUCCGGGUGUAGCGGUGGAAUGCGUAGAGAUCCGGAAGAACACCGGUGGCGAAGGCGGUCUGCUGGGGUAAUGCUGACACUGAUGCG